RNAcentral lists this ribosomal RNA (620 nucleotides) under uncultured Streptomyces sp. Its description in RNAcentral is "bacterial SSU rRNA". It matches the Rfam family "Bacterial small subunit ribosomal RNA", at positions 430 to 1062 of the family's 1533-position model. Lineage: Bacteria; Bacillati; Actinomycetota; Actinomycetes; Kitasatosporales; Streptomycetaceae. The record is from RNAcentral.
CCUCUUUCAGCAGGGAAGAAGCGAAAGUGACGGUACCUGCAGAAGAAGCGCCGGCUAACUACGUGCCAGCAGCCGCGGUAAUACGUAGGGCGCGAGCGUUGUCCGGAAUUAUUGGGCGUAAAGAGCUCGUAGGCGGCUUGUCGCGUCGGUUGUGAAAGCCCGGGGCUUAACCCCGGGUCUGCAGUCGAUACGGGCAGGCUAGAGUUCGGUAGGGGAGAUCGGAAUUCCUGGUGUAGCGGUGAAAUGCGCAGAUAUCAGGAGGAACACCGGUGGCGAAGGCGGAUCUCUGGGCCGAUACUGACGCUGAGGAGCGAAAGCGUGGGGAGCGAACAGGAUUAGAUACCCUGGUAGUCCACGCCGUAAACGGUGGGCACUAGGUGUGGGCGACAUUCCACGUCGUCCGUGCCGCAGCUAACGCAUUAAGUGCCCCGCCUGGGGAGUACGGCCGCAAGGCUAAAACUCAAAGGAAUUGACGGGGGCCCGCACAAGCGGCGGAGCAUGUGGCUUAAUUCGACGCAACGCGAAGAACCUUACCAAGGCUUGACAUACACCGGAAAACCCUGGAGACAGGGUCCCCCUUGUGGUCGGUGUACAGGUGGUGCAUGGCUGUCGUCAGCUCG